AGGUCAGGGCACCGGGGCGGGAUCAGGGGCCACAGGCUGUUGACAAAGCCCUAUCCCUGCGCCCUCACCCCGUGGGGGCGGGGCAGGCGUGGGUGCACCCAGACCCCCCAACCCUGAUGUCCCCAAUACCAAGGGCAGAGAGCAGCCCUGGCCGGUCCUUGGAGGAUGCGGGCGCCGAGGGGGCCGGGGUCAGUCGGUUCAGAGUCGGAGCAUAAGCCCGGUGGCCGAGUCGGCCGGGUGGUGGGGCGCCGGGGGGGCCGGAGCCGGGCAGGGCAGUGACCCGCUUGCCGGGGUCAAAGUCGCCAGUGUGGGCCGCGGAAGAGGAGCGGCCAGGCGGGGCGCAGACACCCCUCACCCCAUCCUGGGCCGCGCCGGUGCCACCGGGCAGUCCUCGGGGCAGGAGCCCACCGAGGGGAGACAGCGCUGGGAGCGCCUCGUACCCCGGCCAUACGCAGACUCGGCGCGCUGAAUUCCACCCCGCGGACCCGCGCCCCACAGACCUUUGUCCCACGGGUCCUGGUUCCGCAGACCCUAAUCCUGCAGACCCCUGAGCCCGCGGACCCUGGCCCAGCAGGUGGUGGUCGCGGUGGGUCCCAGCUCCGGGAGGGGACGCCCUGGGACGCGGAGGGGCGCGCGGGCGUGGGGGCCGUGGCUCAGCCCCCCUUCCUCUCGCUCCCUCCGCCUCCCUGGGCGCCCCCUCGCCCCCUUCCUCUCGCGUCCCCGGGUUCUCGCCCCUUCUUUCCUGAUGCCUGCCUGAUUUUCUGGAAAGACCGACACCCCCAGUCGCCCCCACCGCGGCUCCCGGUUCCUUCCCCUGCAGAGCAGACGGGGGCUGGAGUAGGGGCCAACAUGGGUGACAUGGGUGGACCGGCAGGGCGGUCCCUGGGGUGCCCUUUAACUCUUUCUGUGCCACAUCCCCGGUCUCUGGCCAGUCCUGUCGCGCUAAGGCCCCUCCAGCAGCGCUGACCCUGGUCCCCCACCUGCUGGUCCUGCGGCCGCGGGGCGCUCUCUCCUCCGUCCCACCCGCUCCUUCCACACCACCUCCUUUCCUGGGAGUGGAGAAGCCCCAGCCAGAACCCCUGCCUUCCCCAAGAGGCACGCUCAGAGGGACAUUCUCCCCUUCCUCACUCCCCCUAGAGCCACAUCACACCUGGCUUUGGGGCCCUAGAACCUCAGCCCGCGCCCCUCCCCUUCCACCCCCAGCCAUCCCUGCUCUGUGCCCAGUGAUCUUGGGGUCACCACAACCCCAUGGCGCCUUGAGGCCUCACCUUUCCUGGCCUCUCAGCAUCCUGGGACACUGAUGGUCAUGCCUUCCUUCUAGAAAGUUCUCUCCGAGGCUGUGGCUUCCAGGAUGAGCACUCUCCUCCUCCCACUUCCUCCCCUUCUCCUUCCCCCUCCUCCCUUCUCCCUGGAGAGGUCUUCCUCCAAGUCCCAGUCUUCUUCCCCACCCAGAGCCCCUCCCGCUGACACUUGUCUGCAGUGCCUGUCUCCGCUCCCGCUAGGAAGCCUCCCCUCCGGCAUCUCCAAUCCAUCUCUGGGUCCUGCUCCACCUGCAUUUCCCUAGACCUGUCCUGGCCACCCUCACCCUGGGACACCUCCUGCCCGUGGAGAGCUCCUCUGAUAGGUGCCGUCCUUGGUCUUGGGGGUCCUUUCUCCCUAAUUCUACUUCUGUUUUGGGGGCGUGGGAACCCAGGGUCUUAACCCCAGCCAUUCCCCCUCCCAGGGGCCACUUCCCUCUGAAGCUUAGCCCAGCUCUGUGACCCCCACAGGCCUGCCCCCACCUGGUCCUCACUCCCCUGCAUAGCCACACUGUGGGGGCUCCAUGCUUCCCAGCCCAUAGGAAGCCCUGUUCCCAGAGGGGGCCAUUCUGUUUUAGUUGGAGCAGUGGCCAGAGGCAAAGGUCAGAAGGCAAAGGUCAUAAAAGUUUGUCUCUACCUGCCAGCAUCUGCUCCUGCUACUGCAUCUUCUCCCCUCUCCACCCAAACCCUCCCUCAGCUCCUGCCCCCACCUCUCCAGAGGCACAGACAACAGGGUUCUGAUCUUGGGUCAUGGUGCUCCCCCUGCCAGCCUCAGUCCGAGACCUCUGUGAAUGGCGGUGAUGGCUAAUGGGAUGAGGGGGACCACCUCCUGGUGGCUGCAGGGACUGGGGUGAGGGUGCUGUAGGCUCUGCCUAAGUCAAGUGCCAUGGGGCUGAAGAGACGGCGCACCGGCCCUGGAGAAGAGUCCUCCCUGCCCUCCUGUGUCUGGCCUUGUUUCCUGGAGGACAGGUCCCCACGGGGCAGAGGCCCAGCAGUCCCAGGUUCCUUAGCCUCUGCCACCUCCAGGCCGUGUCUGCUAACCCUGUCUGCCGUCAGCAAGCUUCGUUUUACCUGGUCCCGAACAAAAUAUGUGUUUCAACUGCUAUCCAGUUCUGGUUUCCCUUGACAUUGACGGCACCUGCAGAACUUAAUUUCGGUGUCCAGCAAGACUUAUGGAGCCCAUACUGCCAGCGAGACUCAGAAGCCCCACCCUGGAGUUCUGCAAGGGGCUGAUGAGGAGGAGGGAUGAAAGCGACAGCCGGAAGCCAAGGCGGAGGGACCAGGGGUGGGAGGGGAGGCUGCAUCUGGGCCCAGAAAAACGUGGAAAUGCAGGAAGGGAAACAGGAGGGUGGUGGGGCUGCCCCUCGGAGAGACCUUCUGUGAGCAUUAAAGGGCAUUUUUUUUCCAGGUGUCUUUACUGUGCAUUAAUACAUUUUUACUUUGAUAUAGUUUUGUAACCAGCGUUUCUCACCACAACCUAUAACACAAGCAUUUCCUCACAUUAAUAAGAAGGCCCCUCCACAUCACUACCCAGGGGCACUUAGUAUUUGAGGGUGUGGGAUGGUCAGGUUUUACUCAACCACUGCAGGACUAAGAAAGGCACAAACCUUACGACAAAGCGAAUGGACCUCCGCACUGCAUCCUAGCGCCUUUUGCCCUUAGAUGUGAAUGCAAAGCAAGACCUCUAGGUAUAUGAGACAGACCAAUCACUUGGGAAAGAGGAAACUGGAGGAAACAGAGCUACUGCAGGGAACAGAAGAAAACUUCAAGAACAUUUUAACCACUCUGAUUAUCCUUAGAGACAUGAAAGGAUGAUGCUCCCAUAAAAACUAGAACGGAAUGCUUUGGAAAACAAGCAGAGCGCAGGAAGAGUCCUUGCCGGCUGCAAAUAGAAUAUCUGGAAUUUAAAAAAUUUAAUAGAAGGGUUGGAAAAUUGAGUUGAAGAAAUCUCUCAGAAGAAACAACAAAAAGGCUGGGUGUGGUGGCUCAUGCCUGUAAUCUCAGCACUUUGGGAGGCC
RNAcentral lists this long non-coding RNA (3316 nucleotides) under Homo sapiens (human). RNAcentral's name for it is "HSALNT0392180". Lineage: Eukaryota; Metazoa; Chordata; Mammalia; Primates; Hominidae. The record is from RNAcentral.